UAAUUUCCUAUGAGUUAAUAAUAAUUUGUGAUUAUGAAAAUGUUAUUUCAUAUUUUAUGCAUUUAAUAAAGGUUAAGUAUUUAUUUAAAUACCUUAAAGAAAAGGCAUUAAACAAAUACCUAAAUUUUUAUUAUUUUUCUUAGGGUAUAAAAUUUUAAUGCAUAAAGGAAAAUAAAACAAUCCUAACAAAAUUGGUUUCACUAAUUUUGGGCACCCCUAGAAAUUUCUGUGAUUUAAAUGGUGAUAUUUGGAUUUAAUCUAUUAUUCUAUAAAGAAAAUCUAAAUUUUUCCAAAAAAACCCCGACCUACUUUUCUCACUCACUUCCUUCCUACCCCCUCUCUCUUACACUGGGCCCGCGGCUCGGACCUACCUCUUCUCCUAUUCCUUCUACCCGCCGGCCCCUUAUUCCUCUGCUGGGCUCACUAGGCCGAUUUCUUCUUCCCUUCUCUCUUUUUUUUUUCUUAACCCGGUUUCGGCGCAACGGCCCAGCUGUCCCUUUUCCUUUUCUUUCCGCAGCACCGGCCUGCUAGACCUCACAGGCCCCCGGCCUACCAAGUCGGCCCGACGGCCUUGCACCGGCGCCUGCGCCUACUGGACCCCGGCCCGCCUAAAACCUUCGCCCGGCCGGCCUCCUUCCAUCCCCUUCCUUUCUGACGUGCGGGCCCGCUGUCGCCAGUGCCUUCUUCUUUCUCGCGCCAAAACCUGAGCGCGGCAGGGGGCGGUGCGGCUCGCCGGCUGGUGCCCCACCGGCGACGGGGCCGGGCUGGGGAAGCAUCCCCAAGCUAAAGCGCACCCGCGCGCGGCGGUAGCUCCCCGGGAGGUGGCCGGAGCUACUCCCUCCACGGCGGCGGGCGGCGAAGCUAACGGCCAGCCGUGGCCAAGCACGAUGACGGCGCAACUCAUCCCUCCGACUACCCCUAGAGCUUCCUAGAGUCCCAGACACCUACCUACGGCUCACCACAAAGAAAGACAGCGACGCCAAGGAAGUGCUCACCGUGAGCAGGGGGUCUGGCGGCGGCGGAUGAGAACGGCGACGGUCACAGGCGCUCCGGCGGAGAGACUGGACAACGAGCUGCUAGGGUUGUUGGUAGGGUGUGAGUGGAGGUGUGGAUGGAAGGAAUCAGCGGGAGCUGCGGUGUGGUGGGGGAAUUUUUGAUCGGCGGCGGCGGCUUGGCAGAGGAUUUACGGGCGGCGGUAAAAGGUGACACGGUAAGCAACGGCGGCGGGAGCGGUAGUUAUUCGAAGUUUCACCAUACGCAUGGAUGACACCGUGGCCUAGCCAUAGACUUGUGUGGCGCGGAGGUGGCCUAGGUGUUGAGCUGGAUAGCGGGGCAGGGGCGCUGGCGACGACACGUCUCGCUCUCUCUGAUUUCCUUCUCCUCCUUUGUUUCCUUCAUCAGAAUGUUUAGAUUCUCCCCACGACCGAUCUUGCAUCCGACGGUCCCAAGGUCCUUUAAGCAAAGUUGCAGAUAAUCUCGAGCUCUUCAAGUUUUAUUUUGGCUCUUGCCCGAGAUAAAUAGUCAAUCGUUGGCAAUUUCAAAUGGUUUCUCCUUGGGUAACUGGAUUUUGUUGAACCUCUGAUUCAGUUCGUCAGUCACCCGAACAUGGUCAUUUACCCAUCUUCGGAAUUAUUUUCAGUGGCCCAAAUCCCUUCUUUUUAAUCCAACUACUAACCAUUCAUGCUCUACAACCAUCAGGGAUUCCAUUUUGCUCAUAAACACCCCUACUUUCUGCACUGCAUUUUCCUAACUUUUGCUCCAAACUCAAGCUCUUGCUACUGAUUCAGACUUAAGAAACAUGGCAGCUUCAGUAGCUCAGCCGAAAAUGGCAAAGUGCCAACUUUAAGCCCUAAAUUGAAUUUGUUUUCUUGGUGGUUCCUGAUCAACAACACCCUAGUAUACUUGUCCAGAGUUUAUACUUCAAUACUGUAUAGUUGCCUUGGUCCACUUAUUUGGAAAAUUUGGCAGAAAUUAAUUUCAAAAAUGGAUACUUGCACUGUUUUUCUGAAAAUCCAUUUUCGGACAGUGAACAGUACACUCUUGUUUUAAUUUUUCCAUUGCUUUUCUUGAGAUGUUUAGCACUAAGUUUAGUCUCCCAUCUUGAUUCCCAAAGUUCCUGACACUCUCAAGCUUCCAUUCCAUAUUUUUGCCCAAUUUUUCUGAAUUUGGAAUUCAAAAUUCAAUUUUCGGCCAAAUUUGACUCAAAUUUGACUUUUAGUCCAUUUGUUCUCUUUUUUCUUCAUAAUUCACCUCUAACCUUUCUUAAUCACCUUUGAUGACUUAAAACACCAGGUGUUACAGCCCCUCCCCCUUAACAGAAUCUCGUCCCGAGAUUCUAGAGGUUAAAUUUCUUAGUUUUGAGAAUGGAAAGGAAACUUCCUCAGACACAAUAUCUGCCUCUUGUCUGUAUAAAGAAAGUGGGGUGGUGGCUUUUGUUCAUCUGAUCUUGACAGUUUCAAAUAGCUCGGGAUAUUUGGACUCCAAGUCUUCAGCCGGUUCCCAAGUAGCUUCAUCUGGAGUGUGAUUCUUCCAUUGUACCUUGUAAAACGUAAUACUUCGAGUUCGGGUAUCUCUUGUCUUUUGAUCCGGAAUUUUAAUAGGCCUUUCCUCGUAAGUCAGGUUUGGUUCGAGCUCAAUUUCUGGAUCUUCUAGAAUUUCUUCUGGAACUCUUAAACACUUCUUAAGCUGGGACACAUGAAAUACAUCAUGUAUAGAAGUAAGUUGGUCUGGUAAGGAAAGCUUGUAUGCUACCGGACCUUUUCGUUCCAGAAUCUCACAAGGACCAAUAUACCUUGGGGCUAGUUUACCUUUUAUUCCAAAAUGUUGCACUCCUUUCAUCGGAGAUACCUUCAGGUAUACAAAGUCUCCGACAUGAAAUUCCAAAGACCGUCUCCUUUUAUCCGAAUAACUCUUUUGUCGAGACUGGGCUAUUUCUAAAUGUUUACGAAUCUUCCGGACCUUUUCUUCAGUUUCCAUAACUAAAUCUGAUCCCAAAUGUGUCCUUUCUCCUACUUCUGACCAAUUCAAGGGGGUUCGGCACAUUCGACCAUACAAAGCUUUGAAAGGUGCCAUUUUAAUACUAGCUUGAUAGCUAUUAUUAUAUGAGAAUUCAGCUAGGGGCAAACAUUCAUCCCAUAGCUUAGAGAAGGUAAGGACACAAGCUUGUAACAUGUCUUCCAAGAUUUGGUUGACUCUUUCUGUUUGUCCCCCUGUUUGAGGAUGAUAGGCAGAGCUCCUGAUCAAAGUAGUUCCCAUGUCUUUUUGCAAUUGUUCCCAAAACCUGGAAACAAACUGGGAGCCUCGAUCGGAGAUAAUUGUCUUUGGUACUCCAUGUAGAGACACUAUCCGGGCUAUAUAGAUCUUUGCAUAUGUCGAUACUGGAUAUGUAGUCUUGACGGGAAUGAAAUGGGCUAACUUAGUAAGUCGGUCAACAAUAACCCAUAUGGAAUCAUACCCUUUUGAAGUAGUAGGCAACCCAACUAUGAAAUCCAUGGAAAUAUCCUCCCAUUUCCAGACAGGGAUUUCCGAAGGCUGAAGCAAACCCGCCGACUUUUGUAGGAUUGGUUUAACUCUUCGGCAGGUGUCGCAUUCGGCUACAUACCUUGCAAUUUCAAGUUUCAUCCUGGCCCACCAAAAUCUCUGCUUUAAAUCUUGGUACAUCUUGUUGCUUCCGGGAUGGUUGGCGAACUUAGAUAGGUGUGCUUCGUCCAAGAUCAACCUUCUUAGGUUUUCAUCCUUAGGAACUACUAUCCUCUUCUUAAAAUAUAGUCCCCCAUCCUCUUCUUGAGUGAGUUCAGAAAUCUUUCCUUCUGCUUUCUGUUUAUAAAGUACCUUGAUCCAUGGAUCCAAUCUCUAGGCUGUUAUAAUUCUGUCCUUGAGAGUGUCUUGCACAAUAAUGUUCUGGAGGGCACCUUGUGUCACUAUCUCCAAGCUUAAAUCUUCUAAUUCUUCACACAUGGUAUUAAGGCUAGAUUGAAUAGUAGUGCAGUGGCAUUAGGCUUUUCUGCUCAAAGCAUCGGCCACCACAUUAGCCUUGCCAGGAUGGUAGUGGAUUUCCAACUUAUAAUCUUUAAUUAGUUCCAGCCACCGUCUCUGCCUCAUGUUCAAGUCCAUUUGAGUAAAAAUGUACUUUAAGCUUUUGUGGUUAGUAAAGAUACGACAUUCACUACCUAAAAGAUAGUGCCGCCAUAUCUUUAAUGCAUGGACUACAGCAGCAAGCUCCAAAUCAUGGGUAGGGUACUGCUCUUCAUGACGCUUCAGUUGUCGAGAAGCAUAAGCAAUAACUCUACCUUCUUGCAUAAGAACACACCCUAUCCCUGUCCCUGAGGCGUCACAAUAUACGUCAAAGGGCUUCUCUAAAUCAGGUUGAGCUAGUACUGGUGCUGUAGUUAGUAGCUUCUUUAAUGUUUGAAAUGAUUCUUCAGAUUCAGGGCUCCACCCAAAUUUCACUUCUUUCUUUAACAACUCCGUGAUUGGCUUGGAAAUUUUUGAGAAGUUAGGAAUGAACCUACGGUAAUACCCGGCCAUUCCCAAGAAACUUCUUAUUUCAUGGACAGAGGUUCGUGGUUUCCACUCCAAUAUGUCCUUGACCUUUUCGGGGUCUACUUCAAUUCCUUUUUCGGACAAAACGUGCCCAAGGAAUGGAACUUUCUUGAACCAGAAUUCACAUUUACUAAACUUGGCAUAUAACUGGUGUUCCCGGAGUCUAUUUAGAACAAUACGCAGAUGUUGCGCAUGUUCCUCUUCAUUUUUAGAGAAGACUAGGAUAUCAUCUAUAAAGACGACCACAAAUUUGUCUAAUUCAGGUAUGAAUACUGAAUUCAUGAGGUACAUAAAAUGCGCUGGGGCAUUUGUCAGUUCGAAAGACAUAACCAGGUAUUCAUAUAAUCCGUAUCGGGUUGAAAAGGCUGUUUUAGGUAUUUCUUCGGGCUUUAUCUUAAUCUGAUGAUAUCCUAACCAAAGGUCGAUUUUUGAAAAGACCUUGGCUCCAGCUAGUUGGUCGAAUAACAAGUCAAUCCGUUGCAAAGGAUACUUGUUCUUAAUGGUUACUGCAUUCAAAGGGCGGUAAUCCACACACAACCUCAAUGUGCCAUCUUUCUUUUUAACAAACAGUGCAGGGCAGCCCCGUGGUGAAGUGCUAGGUCGGACAAAACCUUUAUCUAGCAAUUCUUGGAGUUGGACUUUUAAUUCUGCUAACUCCUUAGGUGGCAUUCGAUAUGGCCUUUUGGAGAUAGGAGCAGUGCCAGGUUCUAACUCAAUAGUAAAUUCUACCACUCUAUCAGGCGGUAGUCCAGGAAGAUCUUCUGGAAACACAUCUACAAACUCAUUAACCACAGGAAUAGAUUCUAGAGUCACUGCUCUAGUCUUUUUAACCAUCUGGUCCAGACAAGGACGAGCAGGUAAUUGGAGCUUAAAAGAAUGGCCUCGGUCAUCUUUCAUACUAACGAUCCGGUUAUCCACAUCAAUUUGAACUUUAUGUUCCUUCAUCCAAUUUACCCCCAAAAUAAUAUCUAUUCCUUGAUCUUCCAAAAUUAAAGGAUAAGCACCAACCUUAUUUCCUUCUAAAUUCAAAAUCACAUUGCGAGCUACCUGAUUUGUAUUUUGAGUAGCUCCAGUAGCUUGAAUAGCAUAUUUGACAUUUAAGGUGUGCACUUCUAGUUGGUGUUGCUUAACAAACCCUCUACUUAUAAAAGUAUGUGAUGCACCCGAAUCAAAUAGAAUCAUGGCAGAGUAAUCAUUGACAAGGUAUAUACCUGCCAGAAUAGGUUCACCUUCUAGGAUCUCUUCUACAUUCAUAUAGUGAGCCUGUCCCGUCUUGGUAUUCAGAAAUUUGCGGCGAACAAACUUUUGUCCGGCGCCCUGACCAGAGUUUUGAGCCCUCAAAUUCGCGUUUCCCCCAGCUUUGGGAAAACGGCAAUCCCGAGCAAAGUGUCCUGGCUUCCCACAGUUAAAACAAACCUGUGAAUUCUCCUGAGGAGUAGGGCUGCAAAACCCACAAGGCGGCGCAUUUCCAGGGCGAGGAGUAUUGAUAGGAUUUCUGAUAUUCCAGGGCUGAAAUGGCCUCUGCUGAAAAGAAGGCUGGUAAGCGGGUCGAGGAGGACCUCGGUAUACUACCUUCAUCCUCUGCGGGGCAUUCCCGAAGGUUCCAAAAGAAAUAUUCUUUCUCUUCAAAGAUUCUUCUUUCUUCAAAGUUUCAUCUAAAAUUCUCAUUUUCUCUUCUGCAGUAAUAGCCGUGCUUACCGCAGAACUAUAAUCAGCAAAGGUGCAGGUAGACAACUUCUCCUGCAUCCGUGCAUUAAGCCCGCGAAGAUAACAGUCCCUCUUUCUGGACUCCGUGUUAACAUGUUCCGGGGCAUACUGGGCCAAGUGAUCAAAUUCAUUUGUAUAAUCCAGAAUACUACGAGUCCCUUGCUGCAGCCCUAGAAAUUGCUCCAGCUUCAUUCGCAUAAUCCCUUCCGGUACAAACUGCGUUCGGAAAGCUUCCUUGAAGUUUUCCCAAGUAACCUCCCUUCCGACAGGUUGCCUUGACAAAUAACUGGUCCACAAGGUCCCAGCAAGACCCUGGAGUUGGAGCCCGGCAAACUCCGCCUUCUGGGUGGGGGUGCAUUGUGGAAUUACUCGGAAUUUCUGCUCCAUUGUCUGGAGCCAUUCAUUAGCCUCUAGUGGGUGCUCGGCUUUCAGGAAUAUUGGAGGACGAGUUUCCAGAAAUCGGGUGUAAGAUACACCACGUUCUGGGUCCCGUCGGUUUCCACCAUUACCAGUGUUUUGCACAAUCAUCUGAAGCAAUCGGGCUUGUUCGGCUCCUGAAUUCAUGAGGCUGGCUAUGGCAUCAGCCAGUGUUGGGGCUCUGGGUAAGUUUUCCUCGUGGCCCCCUGACCCCGAAGCUCGAGGACCUCUCGGAUCCGUCAUGCUGUCAAAAUCAAAUAGAGUACUAAUAUCUAAGUCAUAAUUUGCCAGCAGUUCCAUAAGCAUGCUUGUGUUUCACACAUCACAACAUAACUAUCGUAGUUACACACAAACCAUACUUAUAUACAUUAUUAUUUAUAUUACAUGACCCGGAGUUUAAUUUUUACAAAGCCACCACACUACUCCGUCCCACUUCGUUUAUCUUACAUAAAUACACAACAACGCUUCUUGGCUAUGAUCUUUCCUCAGCCAUCAUAGGGAUAAAUGCCCAACUCUAUAGCAUUUAUUCCUAGUCGGGCCAUUGCAGCCUGCAGAACAUCCUGAUCCACCGUCAUCAAUGUCUGUCCCGGAGGAGCGACAGGUGGGGGCUGAUUUACUAAAUUCUCGCUUUCCGACUCUGGUCCGGGGUCAGUUGAAGUGUAGGAGGUAUAUGAUGCAGAGGUGCUGACACCAGAAUUUCCUUCCAUUUCUUCUGGAUCUUCUUCUUCUUCCUCGCCUUCCUGCUCGGCUUCUCCCCACUAUUGCAUAGGUCCAUAGCCUUGUGGAUCUAACCCGUCUGCAUUUGCAUCGGCCCAGGCAAAGUGAUGGUUUUGCAUUGGAGCUUCACGCAGAUUAUCUUCCAUAUCGAUAUGAAAACCUUCUAAAUUUUCAUGAGCAUACAAGUCGAUCUCGGGAGCUGCAGGUGGAGCCAUAUCACCCUCAACACCUACAAUAUCCACCAAUUGAUCUGCUUCUUCUGGGACCGUCGGCUGUGGUUCUUCUGGUGGUGGAGGCGGUGGAACAUUUACUAUGUUCUGGGUAGGUACCUGAGCCUGCAUUUCUUCUAAGGCCAGACGAAGAGAUAAUAUUUCGUCCAGCUGCUGAAAUCUCUCCGCCUCAAGCCUAUUAACAUUGGAUUUAGCCUCUUUCUUUGCCCUUUCUACCGUGUUCCUACUAGCAUCCAUGAAUUCCUUCAUUGCCCUGAGCUUCUCUUCAUAUUCAUCUAUCCUCCUGGACUGUUCUCUCAUAAUCUUCUCCAUGUCAUGUUCCCUAGCCAGUGCUGCUUUCUUGUACAAUUCUUUAUCGUGUCUGGCACCCAUUACUUCCAUCUUGACAUCCUCAUUCUUCUUUCUCUGAUUAUAAUAUUCCCUGAUGCAGGAUUGAUGCAGGUUAUACAUAGCAGUCAUAUAGUCAGAGGCAGCAGCAACCAGGACGUCAUGCUCCACGUGAGAGGAAUUCUUCAGUGCUUUGAUCCUCCUUUUCCAAAUCCCAUCGUCUUGAUGCCUUAUGGGAUAGAAUCGAGCAGAGAUCAACCCUAUUUCCACCUUAUGUUUCUCACAUAGGUCCGUGAGAGCGGUCAUAGCUGCCCUUUCAAUUGUAUCAUUGAACUCAAAACCCUGCUCCAUAAUUUCAUCAAGACGCCAAUUGGGGUUUGUGUCUUCAUCUGGGAUAUGGACAUAAACAGUACAACACUGCUUAUGACAGGUAUCCUCUUUCCUCCAAUAAUACUCUGGUAGAUUAUGAAAGCCUAGCUCUUGCAGUGUCUUCCAUAACAACUGAACAAACCCUGGCUUGUCCAGGUAAUAUCCCCGGGUCCAUCCGUCCUGAUCUGUGUAUCCUUCUUGGAAUAUCCUAUAAAAGAAACGGGGUUAGGUCUAACGGCACUCACCAAACCCAAAAGUUUUUAAGACAUGCUUAUGCAACAUGAUGCAACGACUCCUACGUACUUACAGACUCAUAUACACACUCGUAGAAAAAUUGGUGGCAUUGUAAUCUCUCCCUAAUAAUAUACUAUCGAGUACUAGCGACACGCAACAAAUAGUUAGCAUAUGCAAAACAAACAACCGGUUAAUACUACUGCCACCUAUGACUCACGUUUUCUUUGUUUAAAAUAGAGUCUCAGUUUUUAAAUAGUAAUAUCUGUUGAUUAUCACAACCUAUGGCUCUGAUACCAGCUGUGGCGGAACCGUCCAACUUAAACUGGUUUAAAUGCGCCCAAUCGCUGUCGGAACAGCAAUUAUCCGAAACGCACUUAAAACAGUAUAAGUCCGGUCGUCCGUCGAGUGUCCCCAGGACUCCUCGAACGAUCCACGUUACGUCUCAUAGCCAUACACCAGGAUUGUUUCCACGAUGGGAAAGCAUCAACAAAUAUUACAUUUUUACAUACAUACAUAAGGUACGAGUUAUUAUAGGAUGAAGUUUGAAGUAAACUUAACAGUGCAGGUCAGAGAGAGAUUCUAGGAUUUAAAACAUAAACUGGUUCAGGUGGGAGAUGAGCAUUUAAGUUUUCUUCUAAGGGUAUUGCGAGACUCAUAACAAUACCCUAAUUUUUCGGGGCUUCCUCCUCGGCGGACUCCUGCGGUGCCUCUGAAAAUAGUCACAAGGGAUAACCCUGAGUACGGGGUACUCAGCAAGGCGUACCCGACUAACCAAUAUAAUAGCUUUUCUAGAACUAUAUGAUAGCUUUUUCGGUGUACUGGCUGACACACUUUUUUGCCCAAAGAGCUUACCAAAACUGAGGCCUUAGCUUUAUCUUUUAUUCCAAUUAAGUUAUUACUUAACCAUUCUAAAUGAUGACAAGAAUGAUUAUUUUGCAAGCAACAAGGUAUUAAGCCAUACACCAAUCAUUAGUGGAAAGAUAUUGCAAUUAUGAAUUUAUACUACGAUGCUCAAUAGUGAUCAAGUGCAUUCAUAACCGAGAAUUGCGGCGAUCCGGAUCAAAAUUACAUCCUGCAGGAGAGUACUCUGAUCACCAGUUACGUACGACUGUCCAGAUCGUACGUAACGACCUUUCGAUUAGUAAACCCAAGGAUUGGGAAUAAGACUACCCAGACCCAGGGACGCACCCCCACAUGAGACCCGACGUCUGGCCUGAUCUCCAUGUGAGUUUCAAGCUACGUCCCUGCCAAUCUCCAGCACGUCAAGCACCGGUACGAAGUAUUCCCGAUCAGAGAGCUUAUUAACCUACCGGGCUUUACUGGUCCCAUACCCAGUAAGUAAUCAGGUGUCAUUCACUUGAUCAAAGGUUAAGACAACGAUCGGGCCUUAACCAAAUUAAUCUAGCAGACAGAACUACAUCCUUAGCUUCUGUCCGCCUUUCAACUUCCAAGCUACCUUUCCGUAAUUAGCAUGUAUGACCCAAGAUUUCUCCUUAAGGUUCAGUAAACAGAUUACUUAGGCAACUAAGCAAUUCUAGACUUGGGUUACUUACUAAAUGUUUGAACAAGUAGCAAAGAUGUCCUUAAAACAAGGUAUGAUAAUGCACAAGAAUGGGUUUCAAUCAACUCCUAGACGUAGUGCAUUCAUAUAGAAAAUAACCGAUAAUUGGACACAUGAAAUAAUAAUUCCAAAAUAGAUAGGUAUAAUGCACCGGGGCUUGCCUUGUUCUAUAAAAAUGUUAGCACUGUCCGAUGGAUUGGCUUCGCAGGGAAUCAACUCAAUGAUCUCUUCAAACUCCGGAGAUCCUUCUGAAAAUUCCAAGAAAUCCUCUUCCGGUGCUUCGGUGUCUAUGAUAAAGCAUAUGCAGGGGUUAGUGAUGCAACUUUUUGAAUACAAGACUAUACAACUUUCCUUCACGAUAAAGUUGCAAGCCAACAAGGGACUACAUAAUUUAUCAUGAUAAAGUUGCAAGUCAAGACACAAAAACCCAAAAGAUUAAUCCACCAUUUUUAUUUCCUUUACUAACCUUACCUUAGGCUUUUUCUUUUAUUUUUAGAAAAUGUUAUAAUUAUUUUCUAGUCUUGAAACCUAAUUUCCUAUGAGUUAAUAAUAAUUUGUGAUUAUGAAAAUGUUAUUCCAUAUUUUAUGCAUUUAAUAAAGGUUAAGUAUUUAUUUAAAUACCUUAAAGAAAAGGCAUUAAAAAAAUACCUAAAUUUUUAUUAUUUUUCUUAGGGUAUAAAAUUUUAAUGCAUAAAGGAAAAUAAAACAAUCCUAACAAAAUUGGUUUCACUAAUUUUGGACACCCCUAGAAAUUUCUGUGAUUUAAAUGGUGAUAUUUGGAUUUAAUCUAUUAUUCUAUGAAGAAAAUCUAAAUUUUUCCGAAAAACCCCGGCCUACUUUUCUCACUCACUUCCUUCCUACCCCCUCUCUCUUACACUGGGCCUGCAGCUCAAACCCACCUCUUCUCCUAUUCCUUGUACCCGUCGGCCCCUUAUUCCUCUGCUGGGCUCACUGGGCCGAUUUCUUCUUCCCUUCUCUCUUUUUAUUUUUCUUAACCCGGUUUUGGC
Molecule: long non-coding RNA, 11111 nt
Filed under: Setaria viridis
Lineage: Eukaryota; Viridiplantae; Streptophyta; Magnoliopsida; Poales; Poaceae
Description: long non-coding RNA (SVIR_LNC004902)
Source: RNAcentral